This 253-nucleotide ribosomal RNA is filed under the name uncultured bacterium. RNAcentral describes it as "partial 16S ribosomal RNA". It matches the Rfam family "Bacterial small subunit ribosomal RNA", at positions 524 to 776 of the family's 1533-position model. The record is from RNAcentral.
AACGAAGGAUGCAAGCGUUAUCCGGAUUCAUUGGGUUUAAAGGGAGCGUAGGUGGUCUUAUAAGUCAGUGGUGAAAUCUCUGGGCUUAACCCAGAAAUUGCCAUUGAUACUGUAGGACUUGAGUAUAGUUGCCGUUGGCGGAAUAUGACAUGUAGUGGUGAAAUACAUAGAGAUGUCAUAGAACACCGAUUGCGAAGGCAGCUAACGAAACUAUAACUGACACUGAGGCUCGAAAGUGCGGGGAUCAAACAGG